GGUUCAACGAUCGUCCAGCGUAAUCCUUUUACAACCAUGGUUAGGCUUCUAAAGUUUUAUUACGGAUCUCACUACUCUAGCAUGGGAAUCGUUCUUCAUUACAUGCUUAGGCUUGAGCCAUUUACAUCUCUGUAUCUAAAUUUUCAGGUUGUCAUUUUGCUCAUAGCUAUCACUGUUUCCUUAAAAUUCGAGCACGUAGCUAUUAUUUUCAAAACAUUAUUCAUGAAUUUGUCAAUACAUAAUUUCUCUUGUUGUAUUUCACCACAGUUCAAAAUAAGGGAUCUUAUCAUAUUAUUUACAUUUAUGCCUG
This 310-nucleotide unclassified non-coding RNA is filed under the name Zea mays. RNAcentral describes it as "misc RNA Zm00001eb169660". Lineage: Eukaryota; Viridiplantae; Streptophyta; Magnoliopsida; Poales; Poaceae. The record is from RNAcentral.